RNAcentral lists this ribosomal RNA (253 nucleotides) under uncultured bacterium. Its description in RNAcentral is "partial 16S ribosomal RNA". It matches the Rfam family "Bacterial small subunit ribosomal RNA", at positions 524 to 776 of the family's 1533-position model. The record is from RNAcentral.
UACGUAGGGCGCAAGCGUUGUCCGGAAUUAUUGGGCGUAAAGGGCUCGUAGGCGGUCUGUCACGUCGGGAGUGAAAACACGGGGCUUAACCCCGUGCCUGCUUCCGAUACGGGCAGACUAGAGGUAUGCAGGGGAGAACGGAAUUCCUGGUGUAGCGGUGAAAUGCGCAGAUAUCAGGAGGAACACCGGUGGCGAAGGCGGUUCUCUGGGCAUUACCUGACGCUGAGGAGCGAAAGUGUGGGGAGCGAACAGG